AAAAAUUUAGUUAAUAAAUAACAUUAACUUGUCAAGUUAAAAUAAUUAAUUCUAAUAAUUUUUU
Molecule: transfer RNA, 64 nt
Filed under: Luciola sp. FM20
Lineage: Eukaryota; Metazoa; Arthropoda; Insecta; Coleoptera; Lampyridae
Description: tRNA-Asp
Source: RNAcentral